Molecule: ribosomal RNA, 2917 nt
Filed under: Bacillus cereus
Lineage: Bacteria; Bacillati; Bacillota; Bacilli; Caryophanales; Bacillaceae
Description: bacterial LSU rRNA
Rfam family: Bacterial large subunit ribosomal RNA
Source: RNAcentral
UUAAGUUAGAAAGGGCGCACGGUGGAUGCCUUGACACUAGGAGUCGAUGAAGGACGGGACUAACGCCGAUAUGCUUCGGGGAGCUGUAAGUAAGCUUUGAUCCGAAGAUUUCCGAAUGGGGAAACCCACCAUACGUAAUGGUAUGGUAUCCUUAUCUGAAUACAUAGGAUAAGGAAGACAGACCCAGGGAACUGAAACAUCUAAGUACCUGGAGGAAGAGAAAGCAAAUGCGAUUUCCUGAGUAGCGGCGAGCGAAACGGAACAUAGCCCAAACCAAGAGGCUUGCCUCUUGGGGUUGUAGGACAUUCUAUACGGAGUUACAAAGGAACGAGGUAGACGAAGCGACCUGGAAAGGUCCGUCGUAGAGGGUAACAACCCCGUAGUCGAAACUUCGUUCUCUCUUGAAUGUAUCCUGAGUACGGCGGAACACGUGAAAUUCCGUCGGAAUCUGGGAGGACCAUCUCCCAAGGCUAAAUACUCCCUAGUGAUCGAUAGUGAACCAGUACCGUGAGGGAAAGGUGAAAAGCACCCCGGAAGGGGAGUGAAAGAGAUCCUGAAACCGUGUGCCUACAAAUAGUCAGAGCCCGUUAACGGGUGAUGGCGUGCCUUUUGUAGAAUGAACCGGCGAGUUACGAUCCCGUGCGAGGUUAAGCUGAAGAGGCGGAGCCGCAGCGAAAGCGAGUCUGAAUAGGGCGUUUAGUACGUGGUCGUAGACCCGAAACCAGGUGAUCUACCCAUGUCCAGGGUGAAGUUCAGGUAACACUGAAUGGAGGCCCGAACCCACGCACGUUGAAAAGUGCGGGGAUGAGGUGUGGGUAGCGGAGAAAUUCCAAUCGAACCUGGAGAUAGCUGGUUCUCCCCGAAAUAGCUUUAGGGCUAGCCUUAAGUGUAAGAGUCUUGGAGGUAGAGCACUGAUUGGACUAGGGGUCCUCAUCGGAUUACCGAAUUCAGUCAAACUCCGAAUGCCAAUGACUUAUCCUUAGGAGUCAGACUGCGAGUGAUAAGAUCCGUAGUCAAAGGGAAACAGCCCAGACCGCCAGCUAAGGUCCCAAAGUGUGUAUUAAGUGGAAAAGGAUGUGGAGUUGCUUAGACAACUAGGAUGUUGGCUUAGAAGCAGCCACCAUUUAAAGAGUGCGUAAUAGCUCACUAGUCGAGUGACUCUGCGCCGAAAAUGUACCGGGGCUAAAUACACCACCGAAGCUGCGGAUUGAUACCAAUGGUAUCAGUGGUAGGGGAGCGUUCUAAGGACAGUGAAGUCAGACCGGAAGGACUGGUGGAGUGCUUAGAAGUGAGAAUGCCGGUAUGAGUAGCGAAAGACGGGUGAGAAUCCCGUCCACCGAAUGCCUAAGGUUUCCUGAGGAAGGCUCGUCCGCUCAGGGUUAGUCAGGACCUAAGCCGAGGCCGACAGGCGUAGGCGAUGGACAACAGGUUGAUAUUCCUGUACCACCUCUUUAUCGUUUGAGCAAUGGAGGGACGCAGAAGGAUAGAAGAAGCGUGCGAUUGGUUGUGCACGUCCAAGCAGUUAGGCUGAUAAGUAGGCAAAUCCGCUUAUCGUGAAGGCUGAGCUGUGAUGGGGAAGCUCCUUAUGGAGCGAAGUCUUUGAUUCCCCGCUGCCAAGAAAAGCUUCUAGCGAGAUAAAAGGUGCCUGUACCGCAAACCGACACAGGUAGGCGAGGAGAGAAUCCUAAGGUGUGCGAGAGAACUCUGGUUAAGGAACUCGGCAAAAUGACCCCGUAACUUCGGGAGAAGGGGUGCUUUCUUAACGGAAAGCCGCAGUGAAUAGGCCCAAGCGACUGUUUAGCAAAAACACAGCUCUCUGCGAAGCCGUAAGGCGAAGUAUAGGGGGUGACACCUGCCCGGUGCUGGAAGGUUAAGGAGAGGGGUUAGCGUAAGCGAAGCUCUGAACUGAAGCCCCAGUAAACGGCGGCCGUAACUAUAACGGUCCUAAGGUAGCGAAAUUCCUUGUCGGGUAAGUUCCGACCCGCACGAAAGGUGUAACGAUUUGGGCACUGUCUCAACCAGAGACUCGGUGAAAUUAUAGUACCUGUGAAGAUGCAGGUUACCCGCGACAGGACGGAAAGACCCCGUGGAGCUUUACUGUAGCCUGAUAUUGAAUUUUGGUACAGUUUGUACAGGAUAGGCGGGAGCCUUUGAAACCGGAGCGCUAGCUUCGGUGGAGGCGCUGGUGGGAUACCGCCCUGACUGUAUUGAAAUUCUAACCUACGGGUCUUAUCGACCCGGGAGACAGUGUCAGGUGGGCAGUUUGACUGGGGCGGUCGCCUCCUAAAGUGUAACGGAGGCGCCCAAAGGUUCCCUCAGAAUGGUUGGAAAUCAUUCGUAGAGUGCAAAGGCAUAAGGGAGCUUGACUGCGAGACCUACAAGUCGAGCAGGGACGAAAGUCGGGCUUAGUGAUCCGGUGGUUCCGCAUGGAAGGGCCAUCGCUCAACGGAUAAAAGCUACCCCGGGGAUAACAGGCUUAUCUCCCCAAGAGUCCACAUCGACGGGGAGGUUUGGCACCUCGAUGUCGGCUCAUCGCAUCCUGGGGCUGUAGUCGGUCCCAAGGGUUGGGCUGUUCGCCAUUAAAGCGGUACGCGAGCUGGGUUCAGAACGUCGUGAGACAGUUCGGUCCCUAUCCGUCGUGGGCGUAGGAAAUUUGAGAGGAGCUGUCCUUAGUACGAGAGGACCGGGAUGGACGCACCGCUGGUGUACCAGUUGUUCUGCCAAGGGCAUAGCUGGGUAGCUAUGUGCGGAAGGGAUAAGUGCUGAAAGCAUCUAAGCAUGAAGCCCCCCUCAAGAUGAGAUUUCCCAUAGCGUAAGCUAGUAAGAUCCCUGAAAGAUGAUCAGGUUGAUAGGUUCGAGGUGGAAGCAUGGUGACAUGUGGAGCUGACGAAUACUAAUAGAUCGAGGACUUAACCAU